This 929-nucleotide ribosomal RNA is filed under the name marine bacterium CS-47. RNAcentral's name for it is "bacterial SSU rRNA". It matches the Rfam family "Bacterial small subunit ribosomal RNA", at positions 38 to 970 of the family's 1533-position model. The record is from RNAcentral.
CGCGGCAGCCUAACACAUGCAGUCGAGGGGUAACGGGAAGUGCUUGCACUUUGCCGACGACCGGCGCACGGGUGCGGAACGCGUAUGGAACCUGCCCCUGUCAGGGGAAUAGCCCAGAGAAAUUUGGAUUAAUGCCCCAUGGUAUCCCAUCACCACAUGGUGUAGGGAUUAAAGAUUUAUCGGACAGGGAUGGCCAUGCGUACCAUUAGCUUGUUGGUGAGGUAACGGCUUACCAAGGCAACGAUGGUUAGGGGCCCUGAGAGGGGGAUCCCCCACACUGGUACUGAGACACGGACCAGACUCCUACGGGAGGCAGCAGUGAGGAAUAUUGGACAAUGGGCGGGAGCCUGAUCCAGCCAUGCCGCGUGCAGGAUGACUGCCCUAUGGGUUGUAAACUGCUUUUAUACGGGAAGAAACCUGUCCACGUGUGGACAGCUGACGGUACCGUAAGAAUAAGGACCGGCUAACUCCGUGCCAGCAGCCGCGGUAAUACGGAGGGUCCGAGCGUUAUCCGGAAUCAUUGGGUUUAAAGGGUCCGUAGGUGGGCCAUUAAGUCAGGGGUGAAAGUCUGCAGCUCAACUGUAGAAUUGCCUUUGAUACUGGUGGUCUUGAGUCGUUGUGGGGUUGCCGGAACAUGUGGGUGUAGCGGUGAAAUGCAUAGAUAUCACAUAGAACACCCGAUCGCGAAGGCAGGUGACCAACAACGUACUGACACUGAUGGACGAAGCGUGGGGUAGCGAACGGGAUUUAGAUACUCCGGGUAGUCCACGCGUAAACGAUGGAUACUAAGCUGGUGGGACUCCGCUCUCGGCGGCAAGCGAAAGUGAUAGGUAUCCCACUGGGAGAUCCUUUCCAGAAUGAAUCCUAGGGAAUGGACGCGUCGGCGAACGCGGUGAGACUUGGUUAUUUCCAGGAUUAUCAGAGGGUAC